UACGGGGGGAGCAAGCGUUGUUCGGAUUUACUGGGCGUAAAGGGCGCGUAGGCGGCAAAUUAAGUCAUCUGUGAAAUCUCCGAGCUUAACUCGGAACGGUCAGGUGAUACUGAUCUGCUAGAGUGCGGAAGGGGCAAUCGGAAUUCUUGGUGUAGCGGUGAAAUGCGUAGAUAUCAAGAGGAACACCUGAGGUGAAGACGGGUUGCUGGGCCGACACUGACGCUGACAGCGCGAAAGCCAGGGGAGCAAACGGG
This 254-nucleotide ribosomal RNA is filed under the name uncultured bacterium. Its description in RNAcentral is "partial 16S ribosomal RNA". It matches the Rfam family "Bacterial small subunit ribosomal RNA", at positions 524 to 776 of the family's 1533-position model. The record is from RNAcentral.